UGAANUUAAAGGCUGUGGCUUAACCAUAGUACGCUUUGGAAACUGUUUAACUUGAGUGCAGAAGGGGAGAGUGGAAUUCCAUGUGUAGCGGUGAAAUGCGUAGAUAUAUGGAGGAACACCGGUGGCGAAAGCGGCUCUCCGGUCUGUAACUGACGCUGAGGCUCGAAAGCGUGGGGAGCGAACAGGAUUAGAUACCCUGGUAGUCCACGCCGUAAACGAUGAGUGCUAGGUGUUAGGCCCUUUCCGGGGCUUAGUGCCGCAGCUAACGCAUUAAGCACUCCGCCUGGGGAGUACGACCGCAAGGUUGAAACUCAAAGGAAUUGACGGGGGCCCGCACAAGCGGUGGAGCAUGUGGUUUAAUUCGAAGCAACGCGAAGAACCUUACCAGGUCUUGACAUCCCGAUGCCCGCUCUAGAGAUAGAGUUUUACUUCGGUACAUCGGUGACAGGUGGUGCAUGGUUGUCGUCAGCUCGUGUCGUGAGAUGUUGGGUUAAGUCCCGCAACGAGCGCAACCCUUAUUGUUAGUUGCCAUCAUUCAGUUGGGCACUCUAGCGAGACUGCCGGUAAUAAACCGGAGGAAGGUGGGGAUGACGUCAAAUCAUCAUGCCCCUUAUGACCUGGGCUACACACGUGCUACAAUGGCUGGUACAACGAGUCGCAAGUCGGUGACGGCAAGCUAAUCUCUUAAAGCCAGUCUCAGUUCGGAUUGUAGGCUGCAACUCGCCUACAUGAAGUCGGAAUCGCUAGUAAUCGCGGAUCAGCACGCCGCGGUGAAUACGUUCCCGGGCCUUGUACACACCGCCCGUCACACCACGAGAGUUUGUAACACCCGAAGUCGGUGAGGUAACCUUUUAGGAG
Molecule: ribosomal RNA, 858 nt
Filed under: uncultured bacterium
Lineage: Bacteria
Description: bacterial SSU rRNA
Rfam family: Bacterial small subunit ribosomal RNA
Source: RNAcentral